CACCCCAAACCACCGCAUCACAAGCCACCCCAUGUCAAACCACCGCACAAGCCCCCGUAUGUUCCUAAACCACCUUAUUCCCCAAGCCCUAAACCGCCUUACGUGCCAAAACCACCUCAUACUCCAGUCCCUAGGCCACCAUAUUUCCCCAAACCACCUUACACACCAAGGCCUAAGCCACCAUAUGCGCCAAAACCACCUUAUACGCCAACCCCUAAGCCACCAUAUUUCCCCAAACCACCUUACACACCAAGGCCGAAGCCACCAUAUGUGCCAAAACCACCUUAUACGCCAGCCCCUAAGCCACCAUAUUUUCCCAAACCACCUUACACACCAAGGCCUAAGCCACCAUAUGCACCAAAACCACCUUAUACGCCAACACCUAAGCCACCAUAUUUCCCCAAACCACCUUACACACCAAGGCCUAAGCCACCGUACGUGCCAAAACCACCGUACACACCAAGGCCUAAGCCACCGUACGUGCCAAAACCACCAUACACACCAACCCCUAAGCCACCGUACGUGCCAAAACCACCUUACACCCCAACCCCUAAGCCACCGUACGUGCCAAAACCACCGUAUACCCCAACUCCUAAGCCACCGUACGUCCCAUCGCCACCUUAUACCCCUCGCCCUAAACCACCGUAUGUACCAUCACCACCUUAUACCCCUAGCCCUAAACCACCGUAUGUGCCAUCACCACCAUAUACCCCAAGCCCUACCCCACCAUAUGUACCAUCACCACCGUAUACCCCAAGCCCACCAUAUGUACCAUCACCACCGUAUACCCCAAGCCCUAGCCCACCACCACCACCAAGUGGAACACCGUGUCCUCCGCCGCCGCCACCAAAGGUGAGACCGUACCCUCCACCACCAUCACAAACUUGUCCCAUUGAUACUCUCAAGCUUGGUGCAUGCGUCGACGUGUUGGGCGGUCUAAUACACAUCGGUAUAGGCAGCAGUGCAAAGGACGCUUGCUGCCCCGUGCUGCAGGGGCUACUGGACUUGGAUGCUGCAUUAUGUCUUUGCACCACCAUUAAACUUAAGCUUUUGAAUAUCAAUCUUAUUAUACCGAUCGCCCUUGAAGUGCUUAUUGACUGCGGCAAGCAUCCGCCGCCCGGAUUCCAGUGUCCUGCCUAAUUGGUGACGCUUUCCAGCCAUGCAAUUGAUGAAUGCGACUUGUUUGUUUUGGAGAUUUUGUCAAAGAUAAUGACAUGUAAGUGCAUAAAGUGGAAGUACUUCAUGAUAUCGAAGUUUGUCUUAAUAUAUGUUUUGUUCCUCUUGUGCAUAUCAAACCAAUUAUCUUUGGAGCAAAAUCUAUGUUUUGAUGGAUCCAUACUAUCUGCAAGUUUGGGAUCAUGGGGUGUCAAAUAAUCGCUUAUUUGACCCAAAUUUUAUUUGAGUUGUCCAAUUAGUUGUAACCAUCAAAUAAUUUAUUAUCACACAUAAUUUUGAGAGUAAAUUCUCAAUUGACCAUUAAAAAAAAUAAUCACAACCGACAAAUUCAAAACAGAUACUAUCAUCGUGGAAAGAAAUAUUAAUUAUGCAUUUGGAUUCUGAUAUAAGAUACGCUGAUCUUUUGAUGAUAUCCAUUUUCGCGCCUACAUAACUCAGAUUCAACCACAAUUUUAUUGUUAUCCAAUAGCUAUUAAUAAAAUAUUAUAUUAAAAAAAAAGCAUAAAACUUGACCAGCACUGAAUUUAUAUUCAUUGAUUAUAAUAAUGGAACCUUUCAUUUGAUGAAUUUAAUUGUUCAAUGAAAAAUAACUAGCUGAAACAGUUGAAGACGGGGUGAUUUCUCACCUCGAAAAGAGAGAGAAUUCCCCCAAAGUGCCGCUUGAUAGGAUUUGAUUUAAUUUAAUUUAAUUUAAUUUUAUGCCUUGCCCUUAAAUAAUGUGGAGUAGAAAUUGCUCUUAUUAUUGAUUCAAAAUCAUUAGAUAUGCAUUAUUAUAAAAACUUUAUAGUAAUUAUUCAAUGAAAGAGAAUUAUUAUUAUUAUCAUUUUCUUUCCGGACUGAUUAAUCAAUGAUUGUUUUGCAGGAAUGGAGCAUUAUAUGAAUUUCAGUCCAAUAAAAUUUAAACAGCUCUCUUUAAGAAUGAAUUUUUGUUUUAGGCUACACAAGAUAAUCACCGUAUCCCUUGAUUUAACAUGCUAGUUAUUAAUUGUACGUACACAAAAACAAAAAAAAAAUCAUGGAGUGAUUGAUUUUUCCCAAACAGUUAUACUGUAGAUCAUUAAAGAAAAUAUAAAAAAAUAAAAGUUGAAACGAGUGGCCUAAACAGUAAACUUUGGGUGAAAGUUACAGAUAAUAUUUAAUUACGAUGGAGUUUUUUUGGCCUCCUUUUUUUUUCCCCCCUUUUUUGCAUUUCUGAAACGUGUUGCCUGAUUUAACAGAGAAAAGGGAAAAUUUGAUGGUUGACACUUGGUAAUGAUUUAUAAGUAAUUUAAUCCUAAGUGUUCAGGGAGAGCAGUGACCUCUUGAAAAAUCCUCUUGUUACAAUUUUUUUUUUCAUUUUUUUCUACUCCUUUAUUUAUUUAUUUAUUUAUUUUAAAUCCUUAAUUAAUUAUAAUACAUAUAUAUUUUUUUUUUCCAAAAAAGUUUCUAUCAAAUUGAUAACAUGUAGAUACACAAUGUCAGAAGGAUUUCUAUCCUUGGUAUCAGUCAUUGUGGAACAAUUCAAAUGAAUAUACAGACAACGAGAAAGAGGUAUCAAUACCCCCUCAGAUUUCUCACAAUUACUAACACAUGCGAGGAUUGCUUUUAUUAUUAACAGUUACAAACCCCCUCUAAAUGGAGUUAGCUCUUUUCGAUAGCGGAAAGCAGUGGUAUUACCAUCGUGGUGGGGCAAAAUUUAGAAACUGUAUUUAGGAUAGACUACGAUAAAAAUAUAAAAAGACAUCAACUUUUUCAAGAAAACGGGCGACGAGCUAGUUUUGUUGGGAAUACUAUAAUUUUUAAAAUAAUUGUAAUUAGUAUUACAGUAAAAAUUAUUAGUUGUGAAGAAAAUCAAUUAAAUGUUUAAUAAAAUUUAUUUUUAAAAAUGUUAUGGGUUAUAAAAGCAGUCAUAUAUAUAUUUAGUAAAUUUAACUGUUAAACUACUGUAAGAAUAUAAAUGAUUGAAUUAGAUGUUAAGAAAAAUUUAUUUAGAUAUUUAUAAGCAUGUAUAUAUAUAUAUUAUUGUGUAUACAUAAUAAUUGAUAACUAGAAAUAAAUAUUUUAUAUUAUUAAUUUUAUUUUUAUCUUGUUAUCUCAAUAUAAUUGGUAAUAAUAAUAAUCUCUUUAAAGUUAAUGAUUUUAUUACCUAAUUAAUAAGGAUAAUUUUAGAUUUUUAUAAUUUAUAUAACGAUACAUAUGAAAUUGUAUACAAUAUAAAGUUGAUUUUCAAAAUCAAAUUUUAAAAAGCUACUCAUUUCUGACUUUUCAAGUGCAUCCGAAAAAUUGGAUAUUUGGAUCCGGUUAAAUUUUAUUUUAAAUUAAAAAUUAAAUUAAAAAUAUAUAUUAAAAUUAAAUUAAAAAUUAAAAAUUAAAAAUUAUUUGUCGAUUUAUGUUGUUGUUGUAUGCUAUUCAUGUUGAAUUAUAAUUGAAUUUUAUUUGAUAUUAUUAGGUAAAUUAUUGAAGUUUAUUUUAAAUUAAAAAUUAAAUUAAAAGUAAAUAUUAAAAGUUAAAUUGUAUUUGUAGAUCUUUAUGAUGUUGUUGUAUGUUAUUCAUGUUUAAUUAUUAAUUGUUGACUUAUGAUUGAAUUUUAUUUGACAUUAUUAGGCAAAUUAUUGAAUUUUUAAAUUAUAUGUUAAAUUAUUGAAUUAUGACUUUUGCAGAUCUAGGUAUCCAGAAUAUUUGCCCGCAUCUGUUGCGGAUAUAACCCGUAUCCGGAUUCACAUAUUUUUUUGCGGAUUCGGAUGUAGAUCCAGAUGUAUAAAUGUAAUGCAAAUACAUAUCUAGAUGCACCUACAUCAGAAUUCGGAUCCAGAUUUUGUCAACCAUAUUUCCCGCACUUUAAAAUUCUAGACCAAAAACCUACUAGUAUAUAUAGGUAAAGAUGGCCAAUGGGCCGGGCGGCACGUGGCACGGCACGGGCACGGCACGUGUCCGUACGGCACGGCACGGCACGAGCACGUUUUAGUGAGGCACGAGGCACGGCACGGCACACACGUGGGCCGUGCCGGGCCUAGAAUUUUAGGCACGCGGGCCUUAAAGCACGGCACGAUUAGAGAUGGGCCAAAGCACGGCACGCGAAAAAGCACGUAGUAAGCACGGUUCAUUGGUGGGCUAGCACGUGGCCCAUGAGCCAUUAAUAGCAUGUGGGCCAAAAUAUAUCUAAGUAAAUUUUUUUAACAAAAAGUAAAUAUAAAAUGUUAUGAAAUUAAAGUAAAAUAUCUUGAAAUUAAAUGUUUUAAUAUAUUUUUUAGCAUAGACUUUUAAAAAUUAAUUUAAAUCAUUAAAUCUUAGUUUAAAUAAAUAUUCUAAUUUUUUAUGUUUAUAAUUUAUUAAAUAAAUAAGUAAAUAUCAUGAUUUUAAUAAAUAAAAUUAUAAAUAUCAUAAAUUUAUAAAUUAUAAAUUAUAAAUAAUUUUUUUACAAAAUUAAUAAUAAAAUAUUUUUCAUAUUAAUAUUAAAUCAUAACUUAUAAGUUGUGACCUAUGAUUUGUUAUAUUAAUAUUUCGUAGUUAUGACUUAUUGUAAUGAUUAUUCGAGGAUUGUAUUUUUAAUUUUAAUUAAUUAUUAUUAUGAUCUAUGGAAUUAAAUUUAUGUAUUGUUGUGUUAUGAAUUAUGAUUGAUUAUUGUGAAAUAAAAUAUAUAGUUGUGAAAUUGUGAUAAACUAAUAAUAAAAUGUUAAUUGCUCUCUUAAUAAAAAAUAAUAUGAUUAUGAUUAUGAUUAUGAUUAUGAAUAUUAUUAUUAUUAUUAUUAUUAUUAUUAUUAUUAUUAUUAUUAUGAUGUUGGUGGGCUUAAAAAAGCACGUCAGGCAUGUGGGCUUGAAUAAAGCACAUCAAGCACGUAGGCUUUUUUAAGCACGCAAAAAAAAAAAAAAGUUGGUGGGCUUUUUUUGGGCACGGCCCACGGCACGACACGAGCACGGCACGAGCGGGCUCGUGCCGGGCUCAACUGAAAAAAAGGUAGGCACGGCACGGCACGGCACGGCCCACCAAUUUAGUGGGCCGUGCCGUGCCGGCCCAUGAGCCCUUGUGGGCCGACAGUUGGUGGCGGCACGGCCCAUUGACUAUAGUUAUAUAUAAGGAAUAAUCUUUGAGUGAUAAUUAUAGAUUAUAAAAAUGUGGGGCUUUGAUUUUUAAAAAAAUUAUAUAAGUGUUUAGUUGAAUUUUUAUUGAAAAAAAUAAUUUUAACUUGGGUUAUUUAUGUAUUUUCAAUUGAAAAGGGGUUUAUAAAUACUUUUGUGGGGGUGUUAAUAACAAUACUCCUUUUUCUUUUGGGGCGUAGGGGGUGGGCUAUAAGUAUGGGCCAUGGCGAUCUAGUAUGUCCUCAUUGGCACCCUAAAAAAAUCCUCUUAGAAAUUUCAUUUUCAAUUAUAUUCUAUUUAGUGGCAAAGAUAAUCUUUUUUUCCCCUUAAAUAGACACUCAUUUCAUUUAUAAAUAUUUCAAGUUCUAAUAAUUUUCUCACUCUUGAAGUCUUAAUAUUUGUAUUCUUCUCUUCAAACUUUCUUUAUUAUUUAAUUUCUAUAAAAAAAUCUAAAAGAAAAAGUAAGAAAAACCUUAUACUUAGAAAAAGUAAGAAAAAAGCUUAUUAUACAUAUAAGCUUUGGGUGGAGCGAUUAGUUUGAGAAUCCUCAAAAUUAUUUGAAGUGGGAUAAAAUUUUAUUUAGAAUAAUGAUAUAGUUGCAAACUCUUGUACAAACUUAUUUUAUACAAACUGAUGUGGCAUGAUAAAAUUGGUUAAAUUAAAUAUCUCUUGACCCACAUGAUUUAUUUCUAUUAUUUUAUAUUUUCAUUCAACCAAUGAAUUAAUGCCACAUCAGUUUGUGCAAGAUAAGUUUGUACAAGAAUUUGUGGCUGUAUUAUCACUCUUUUAUUUAAUUUAUUUUCCAUUAUGUUGUAUCCUAAUUUUGGUUGCUAUGUUUAUUACAAGAAUUUUGUUUUCGGUUAUAGAAUUACUGUGCAAGUAAAGUAAAUUGCAAAGAGAGGGAGAAAAUGUAAGUGGGUUAAUCUUAAUUCUAUUAAUAUUUGUCCUUAAAUAUGUAAUAUAAUAUAAACAGAGUUUUAUGAGAUUAAUAAAGGGAUACCAAUAGUCAACUGGUUAGGCGGGACCCCUACCUGUAAUAUAAAUCAUAAAAUGAAGCGAAUACACAAGGACGGGGACAUAAACCAAAACCUCCGAGAGUAACUAAAAAUACACACGAAUAACCAAAAAAGAAUAAAGACAACAAAAAUAAAAGGAAAACCAUAAAUGCCAACAUCUUAUGUGAGAAACAGUCUAUGCAUCCAAAUGGAGAAUACCAGAUAAGUUUGUAGGAAGAUCUGAAGGACAUAAGAAACACUGACUAGAUGAGACCACACCCAAUUAACCAAAAAAUUAGCAGCAGAGGUAGCCUUACGAAACAAUCAACUCUUAUAGUUUAUACAUGAGCCAACCUACUAAAUUUUUCAUUCAAUGUUAAACUCAUCUUGCCAAUUAUGCCAAUGAAACAAUCUUGGGCGUUUAUAUAAUUUCAAUAAGAGUGAUAAAAGAUUUUGAUUGCAACAAAGUAUUUAUACAUAUUGUAUUUAUAUCAAUUAAUUGAGUAACGACUCUAGCAUGGUUUGAACCCUCCUGACUCUUAUAUAUAUAUAUAAGAGUGCUGGUAUAACAAUAUUGUAUAAUAAAUAUUUAAUUAGUUUAACAUUCGUAUUUAAUAACCACCAAUAAAAGUCUUAUAUUUUGAUUAGAUAAGGUAUAAAAGGGUUGCAGUUUUUAUUUCAUAUUGUAAUGAUAGCACUUUCAAAAUACAGUGUAAAUAUAAGGAUUAGUCAUCUCCUGAUCUAAGCAUUCAUGGCCUUUUAAUAAUCUUAUUCCACAUGUCAUGUAGUAAUAGACAUAAAUUUUUAUUUAGAAGAAGUUCAGAUCAACAGAUCUUAAUCCGUGAACAUAAUAGAGAUCGAAGAGAAACUACAACUCAAAUAAGAAAAAAAAAGGCUUACAAUUUCAUUUAAUAAAUAUUAAAAAAGCCUUACAACUUCAUUUAAUAAAUAUUAAAAAAGCCUUACAACUUCAUUUAAUAAAUAUUAAAAAAGCCUUAUAACUUCAUUUAAUAAAUAUUAAAAAAGCCUUACAACUUCAUUUAAUAAAUAUUAAUUUCUACAAUAUUUAUAUUAGAUUCACGAGCAACAAGGGAUCAAUAUUGAACAAGACAUGCAAUUAUUACAUCGAGACAUGAAUGUGUCUUCAAGUAUUAUACGAACUUGAAGCUCUCACACGUUAUUGUCAUUCUUUUAUGAGAAAAUAAACGAAACUAGUAACAUAUAAAAUAUUAAUAUGGUCAAUUAAUAUAUAUAUGUAUGUAUGUAUAUUUCCCUCAGAAACUGCAUAUGCGUGGGGCGUCACCAAUUAAUUAAUGGGUGGACACUGAAAUCCUGCUGGUGGAUACUUGCCACAGUCGUUGACAAGUACUUGCAGGGAGAUGGGUACGAGAAGAUUGAUGAGAUUUGGAGCCUUAAUUCUAAUGGCAGUGCAAAGACAUAUUGCAGCAUCCAAAUCUACUAGCCCAUGAAGCAAUGGGCAGCAUUUCUCCUUAGCACUGUCGCCAAGACCAAUGUGAAUUAAACCACCAAGAACAUCGACGCAUGCACCAAGCUUGAGAGCAUUAAUGGGACAAGUUUUUUGUUGAUUUGGUGGCGGUGGGUAUCUCACGUUUGGUGGUGUUGGUGGCGAUUUUACAACUGGAGGAGGAGUUGGUUUUUCCUUUGGCGGUGGUGGUGGUUUCACAACUGGAGGAGGAGGAGUACUGGGUUUCACCUUUGGUGGUGGUGGUGGUUUUACAACUGGAGGAGGAGGAGUGGUUUUCACCUUUGGUGGGGGUGGUGGUUUUACAGCCGGAGGAGGAGGAGUUGGUUUCACUUUUGGUGGUGGGGGCGACGGCUUAGGGCUCGGCGAAUGAGGCGGUGGGGGACAAUUUGGUGAAGAAGGAGGAGGAGGGGUUGGUUUGGAGCAGUCACAAGCUAAAGAAGAGAGCAAAGCACCCGAGUUCAGGAGGACAAUCAAGAAACUAGUUAAUUGAUAUUUGCCCAUGAUGAAAUAAUUUCGAAACUCUCUAAUGAACUAGCUAGCUAGGGUUUGGAAUGCAUUCACUAUUGAAUGAGUGCCUUUUUAUAGAGAGUAGGAAGUUUGGGAUUUUUAAAAAUUUUCAGUUUUAAUUCGUUGAUCCAUAGACUUAAGGGCAAAGUACAACCCAAGCCAACUCACGAAUGGACAGAUAGACAGACAUUAUAUAUUUUUUUCUUUAAUGCUUGGAACAUGGGAUUGAUUAUCGUUUUAAGGAAGAAGAUUCGAUUGAUUAUUUAACCAACAAAUUGGUAUAGUUAAUUAAGCGUAUUGUUCUUAUAAUUUGAAACGUAAAAUUUGCAAUUAAUCUCUAGCAAAUGCAAAGCUUAAAACUCUAACUUCUGCAUUAGAAUUUCGAAGGGCGUGGGGACCUGUACUCUCAAUUUCACAUGAAUAUUUGCAAGCUGUUCAAUCAUUGAAGACGAAUGCAAGCAACAAGCAUCUUGCGGGGACACUUCUUCAUUUUUCUUUGGGCCGUUACAUGAUAACAAUAUUUAUAGUUAUAUUAUUAGCCCAUUAACUAAUCUUAAUAUUAGAUAUUUUAACCUAUUAACUAAUCUUAAUAUGAGAUAUUUUUGUUAGUAUUUUUUACUAGUCACUACAAGAAAAAUAGUAUAUGACAACAGGCAAAGAGUGUUGUAGAAGGGAUAUCACAACAAGCAUCUGAGCGUUGCGGUUCUUGAUGUAGCGAAAAGUAGGUAACUUUCGACUACGCGCAAUUCACGUUGUUGAAAAAUAUAUGAACGUUGUUAAAUAUCACAUGACAACUUACAAUGAUUGUGGUUAAAAAGAUCAUGUGCUUCCAAACUUUCGACUACAAGCCUAUGAAUGUGGCUAUAAAUUAUAUAGCAACAAGCAACUAAAUGUCGCCAUUAAUUCUAAUUUUUAUUUACAAUAAACCACAUAUCCUGCAUGUUGUCAAAAAAACAACAAUAUAUUAUUAAUAAUUAUUAUUAUCAUUAUCAUGACUACUAAUAUUAUCAUUUUUAUUACACUAUUGCUGCCGCCAUAUGUAAAAUUCAUGCGAACUAAUUCUACAAUUUGGCUUGUUAUAAUAAGUUUUCAUAAACUUAGUAAUAAGCACACAUCACAGCUAAGGGUCACACCAACAUUUUGUAUUAAUAAAAAUUCUAUUACAUAGCAAAAAUGAAAAACACCAUAUAACAAUUAAUCCAUAGAAAUUUACAACAUCAGUUUAAAUUUCAUCUAGCCAAACACCCAAAAAAUUAGUAAAAAAACACAUUAGUGGCUGUUGCAAUUCCAUAAAUAUCAACUUAAAAAAAACCAUCUCCAACGAAAGCUUCUUCAAUUUAGCAAUUGCAUCAAAAACUUGUUCAGGGCAUAUGUACACUCCAACAAAAACAUCUUCAAGGCACAAACUCCUACAAAAAGAUUAACUGAAUCAAUAUUCAUUUGUUGCAUUUGGAAUAUAAUUAUACACACACACACCCCCAAGAAGAAUAUUUUAUGCCUACAUACCUUUUUUAAAACAAUUUGAUACAACUUCCUGAUUAUUUCUCAUUUCUCUAAACUUCUUGCUUAUUGCUUGUCCAGCAAAUAUUAAAAUGUAUAAUUUUCAUAGACAUGAAACUUAACAUGGAUACUAUAAGUGCAAUGCAACGGACUAGCUUACUUUAAAUUCUGGAGACAAUUUUUACUUGACAAUAUUAGCCCAAUCUUCUUUGAAAAUUAUACUUUUUUGGCCUAAUAAGAGCAACUUGCUCUGUCAUGUACUUUUUUGGUUUCCUUUAUCUUAGUUGUUAGCUCUGAUUUGUAUUGUCUCCAACAGUCACCCAUCGUUCUUAAUGCCAAGCAUUCAAGAUAAAUAAUGCAUUUCUAAAUAAAGAUAAUUACUAUGUAAUUCCAUAAACAUGCACCAAUGGCCAAUAGUUGGCCGUCAACUAAAAGCUAAUUUUCAAUGCACACAAGCACAUGCUCUCAUGUUAUAACUCUAAUAAAAGUGCAUAUUUGUAAGAAUUUACACCUACUGGCUGGCCAUAGUCGUUAAAUUCAAUGCUUAAUGAUGGAGAACAAUCUUGAAUCAUUCCAAGUUUGGUUGGACCUCUUUUGUCUUUUGGUGCAUCUAUCGUCAGAUUGAGGUUUGUGUGCAUUUUCCCUAUUGCUAGUUGCUAAUGAUCCAUUCUCCUCUUGAAUAGUUGCAUUUUCUCUAAAUUUAUCUCGACUUGCCUAGAAGACUUUGUAACACAUAGCAAAAUUAAUGUAGGAAUAAACAUACUAGAAAAAAGUAUAUGAACAUGAAAAAGUAUAAUUUAAAGUUGAACCAAAAAAAAAAAAUUCUUACUUAUACUAAACAAAAUGUAAUCACUCUCACUAGCCAAUAAUAAAUCUUGGAACCCUCUUUGUGGUUUUUUCAAUACUAAAUACUAAUUUGAUUUUUCAUUAUCCUUAUAAUAAAUCUAAAUUGGCUUUGUCCCUCGUGAAGGUUAACCAAAGUGAAUCCUUCGUCAACUUUAACACCAUUAACUAUAUUAGUUCAGUCACAUUUGAAAAUAGGGAACUAAAAGUAUUGUAAUCAAGCACUAAUAUAUCUCUCAAAACUCCAUAGUAAGUAACUUUUCCAAAAGAGAAAUCCAUUUUGAAUUUUAAUUAUACAAGGGGGAAACAGUACCUCAAGUUUGCUCUAUAAUCAGAUCCUAAAAUGUCACAGCUGAUUCCAGAGAUUAAUGGCAUUAACAGAAGUAACUUAUCUGUUUCAUAAAGUCAACAACGCCAAUAAGAGAUUAAAAUUGUGCCUUUCAAUUGAAAAAAAAAAUCAUUAUCCAUCUCACUAGUAAUAUUUACUCAUUUAAAUUAUUUUUACUGAAAUCAGUUUAUCUUGAAAAUAAAAUAUAAUCUUCAAAAUUAUCUUUUCCAUGUAAAAUAUUUAGCUUCAGGCAUUUCAAAAGAAAAUAAUCUUUUGGUUUCAAUCACCCACCACAAAAAAAGUAACAUUUAUUUUAUUCAUGCAUAACAGAUGAACCCCACAAGCAAUAAAGAAUUGUGCCGCUUACCAAACAAUUAAUGAAUCUACAAUGGGACGAUGUCGAGCGAUUUUGAGUGAGAAGAAGUAUAGGGUGAAGACCCAAAUCUUCUAAAAACAAAAUAGGUGGAAAGAGUAAAUUAUUAAUUAAAUGGAAUUAGGGAAGUGAAAGUGAGCUUUAUCAAUGAAAUUGAAAAGAAGAAUACCUGAUACACUCAUUUCCUUGGGUGGGCAGCCGCCAUUACGAUGAAGAUUGAGAGGCUUGCUUUGCUUUAGUGGCAGAGAAAGAGUAAAGUGGUACUGCAAAGAGAACCGAGGGUUUCACUAAAUCAAUUUGUCUCUUUUUUUCCCCCCUUUUUUACCGCGCUUUAACCCAUACGCACAAAAUGAAAAUUUUUAUUUAUUACACAUUAUUUUCUAUUACUUUACUUUUAAAAAAUAUUGUAGUUAAUGAUACCCUCAAAAAAUUUAUUUGUUAUAAUACUUUUAUGCAUAAAUUCCAUGAGCACCUAUUUAUGUUUUAAUUUUCACCAAUUUCAUAUUAAAUUGAGUUAACAAAGAAUUUUACAAAAAAAAAAUAUUUUCAACAACAUGCAACAUAUAAACGUUCUUAUUUAAAUAAUAAUUUUUGCAACAGGUAAUUCAUUGUUGCCUUAAAUAANNNNNNNNNNNNNNNNNNNNNNNNNNNNNNNNNNNNNNNNNNNNNNNNNNNNNNNNNNNNNNNNNNNNNNNNNNNNNNNNNNNNNNNNNNNNNNNNNNNNCGCUCGUUGUCGUAGGUUUUAGACCACAGUCACUUUUUGCAUGUUGCUAAAACUUUAUAUUUACCAACAUGCAGUUUAUGACUGUUGUUAAUUAUAAAUUUGACAACAUUUCAUCUGUGCACGUUGUUAAAAUGAUGUUGCCUUAUCCCAAUUUUCUUGUAGUGAGUCCUUGUCAUGUAUAAAAUAGACCCACUAGUACACAAGUAAGAGUCUAUCUCAUGUAAAAAUUAGCUCAAGAGUUGAGAGUUGUCUCAAGUUUAUAUUUAAUUCAAUAAGUUUUCUCAACCUAUCUGAGAUUUUUUCCUUAUCAUCCCCAUCACUUGCAAACCAAUAUAUCUUUUUUUUUUUUUUUGGUCUUUAUCAUGCGGAAAAAUACAUAGUAUGUGCCAACUUGUGCAUAACUAUGAAUCUAAUACCAUAUAAAGGUAUGCGAGUCUAAUUCAUACUCUAAAAUUAGCUCAAGAGUUAAGGAUUGCCUCUAAUUUAUAUUACUAGUUCAGUAACUAAUCUCAGCAUAUGGUGGCUCCACUAGAGGAAAGUGUUUUGCACAUAUAUACAUAAAUUCUAAUGAGUAAAAUUAUUCAUGAUGAUACAACCACAUUAAUGGAUAAUCAGUAGUAAUUGAACCAUGAAAGUGUCAUUCUUCGUUUAAGGGUGCCUUUGACAUAUUGUUUGCACAAAAAAAAAAAAAAAAGCGCUAAAAAAAGCCCCAAUUAAGGAUGUCCAUUGUACCCACAUAUGUAAGCAUAUGUGAGUUCUGAAACUCUUCAAAAAGAUAAAUUUAUAUUAUUCGGAGUAUAAAUUUAUCUUGGAGAGUUUGGAGCAGAUUUGAUUUGUGUUUUCGUAAAAUUUAAUAUUCAAACAACUACUACUUCUUUAAAAGAAUAAAUAAACAAAUAAAUAAGGUGAAUAAUUUUUGUUGAAUUAGCGUGGUGAUUAAUUAUAGCGAUAUUGAAAUUUUAAUGCAUGAUCUUCUAAGAUUUGUUUUAGUUUUGAGAUUUCAGAUCAUAGUUGUUUGAUUUAUAUUUUAUUAUUUUGUGUUUUCAAAUCUUCGUGUGAAAAUGUCAACUACGCUUGCGCAAAUCUUGCUUUGUCCAUCUUUAAAAGAUCUGAAGAAGCUUCGAUUGCUCCCAAACUUUUAGAAAGAAUUCAAAAAUAUUAAUGUAUACCGCAUGAUAUGCUCUCACUGUUUAGAAAAAAAAUGUACUGCCAGAGUUUAUUUUUAAAUAUUCUCAAACUGCAUUCUGUUUUCUUACUAUAUUUUGGGAAAAUCAGUAUAAUUGAGAUGCGAAUAAGGUCGACAAUUAUACUAUUAAAAUGCAAUACAUGUGUUAUUUACGCAUUGCUUAUCUAAAUAGUUUGUUUUAUUUGCGCAUUGUUUAUAUAUAUAUAUAUAUUUAUCUAUAGUGUAUAACGAGGAUUCCCAAUCUUUUAAAUAUAAUAAAUAUGAAAAAUCGUUCUUCGUUUCUUGCAUGGCCAUUUUAAUAAAGCAGGUUAAGUUAACGUGAAGUUAUAUUUUUGAUCAUUCUGCCAUCUGAAGUAAGACCACAAAGUCGUGACUAUUGUGUAAAAGAAAAGUGAAAACAGAUCAAAGGUGAACAGUUUGACCUAUAAUUUCUCUGUUAACAAAACUAUAAUUAUUUUUUAUCGAACCCAAAAAAAGUAAAAAAAAAAAAAAAGUGUCCAAUAAGCAUUUAGCCUCAAUAAUUGCAUGCAUGCACAGAUAAUGUUCAUGAAAAAUCGACAGUGUUGAUGCAAGAAUUUUCGUGCACCAGCAGGAAGGCCGAAUAACCUUGGUGGUGAGGAUCCUGGGUAAAAUACCGGAGAUGGAAAAUGCGGUUGCUAGCUUUUGAAUUGCUUUCAUAGAUACGAAAUAUAUCCAAUGAUACAGUAAAGAAAUAACAUAUGAUAGUAACAAACCAAUUAGCUAGAUCUCUUCUUUUUAAGCUGACCUUGGUCUUUGUCACCUUGAUGAUAAGAUCCUUCGUGGUAGAAAUAGUAAAGAACAGGUGAGGAUCUCCUCAUGAAGCUAUUUCGAAGUCAAUAAGUAAUGGUGAGGUCAGCAAGAACCUUCUCUCUUAAUUAGUUGGUCUUCCCUCUCUCCUCGAUCAUCUCUUCAAUUAUAUGGGUGCUAUCUCCACGAGUUAAAAGACUUAUUUGUGUUCUUGUUUGUAGAGAAAGUAGAAUAUUCCUGUGUUACGUUCCUCAUUCUUAAUCCACCAUAGUUCUUCUGUUGGACAUUUGUUCUAUUUUCGUUAGUUGUGAUUCCUCAUCCUUAAUCCAUAACUCUUCUAUUGGACACAUGUUCUCCUUUCGUUAGUUGUUGAGAUUUCUUAAUGAAAUUUUACUAUAAGAAAAAAAAAAUAGUAAGUAGAGAUUAAUAAAAUCACCUUAAGUACUUUUUUGAGAUAAAAGUCACCUCAAGUACUUUAGAAAUGAUUAACUUAGUUUUUAAGUUAUUUUCAUAUUUAGAUAUUGAGCAUGCUGUCGUAUAUUUUAUUUUAUUUUUUAUAUCAACAUGGUGGCAUUUUUUUUUUCUUUUUUUUUUUUUGGUAUAACAGAUAAUAUAUGUGCCCUCGCACCUCGCUCUUUGAAAUUCUAAUGCAUCGGAUACAAGGUAAUUCAUAUCAAAAAGACAAUUUUAAUAAGAUAAUCUUCGAAUACUCUCAUUGAUGAUGUGAACCCUUACCCGCAGCCUCUGCAGUAAAGCCUUCACUAGCUGGCUAAGCCUUUAAUUAGUAAUGACACAUUAAUAAUAUGAUCAAUCGACCAUUGAUCUUCUUGGUAUCACAAUGAAUCCCAUGUUUCAAGCAUGCAAUGAAAGAAAAAGGUAAAUGUCUGCUUAUCUGCCCAUUUGUGAGUUUGCUUGGAUUUUCUUUCAAGCCCUCGAGUCAAUGAAGCAAUUAAAAUUAACGAAAAAGUAAAACGACCCAAAUUCAUAACUCUCCCUACAAAAUGGUAUCCAUUCAGUAGUGGAUGCACUCCAAACCAGCCAGUUCAUCAGGGAGAUUUGAAAUUAUUUCAUCAUGAGCAAACAUCAAUUAACUAGUUUCUUGAUUGUCCUCUUGAACUUGGGCACUUUGGUCCCUUCUCUAGCUUAUGACUACUCAUAUAAUCCUCCUCCUCCUCUUCCUUCACCAAGCUGUCCCCCACCGCCUCAGUCGCCGAGCCCUAAGCCGCCGCCGCCACCACCAAUUGUUUACCCAACUCCUUGUCCCCCAGUUACAAAACCACCACCCACGCCAGAGGUGAAACCCACUCCUCCUCUUCCAGUUGUAAAACCACCACCACCACCAAAACAACAAACUUGUCCAAUUGAUGCUCUCAAGCUUGGUGCAUGCGUCGAUGUCCUUGAAGGUUUAAUUCACACUGGUCUUGCUCGCGACGUUAAGAAGAAAUGCUGCCCAUUGCUUGACGGGCUAGCAGACUUGGAUGCUGCAAUAUGUCUUUGCACUGCCAUUAGAAUUAAGGCUCUAAACCUCAUCGAUAUCCUCGCACCCCUCUCUUUGCAUGUACUUGUCACCGACUGCGGCAAACAUCCGCCAGUAGGAUUUCAGUGUCCUACCAAUUAAUUGGUGACGCCCCAUGCAUACCAUGCAGUUUGCGUGAAAAGGAGAUCUUAAUCGAUCAUAUUAAUGAUUGCAUGUUACUAUUUUCGUUUAUUUUCUCAUAAAAAAAUAAUAAUAAUAACGUGUGGGAGCUUCAAGUUAGUAGUACUUGGAAGGCAUGCACGUGCGUGUGUGCGUAUGCCUUAUCCAUCAGUGAUAUCGCUUAUCAGUUGUAAAACCAAUAUUGUAUGUUGUGCAAUCCAAAUAAGAAAAAAAAAAUGAAUGUUGUGGAAUAAAUAUUAUUUACUGACAAAUUGUUUGGCAUUUAUUUUAGGGAGAGUGACAUUUUAUUUCUUCUUAAAAUUUAUUUCUAACACUUUUAACUUUUAAUAUAUGUUUAAUACACCAUUUUAUUCAGAUGUUUGAACAUUACUAACAAAAUACAGUUUUGAACGGUAAAAUUUAUAUUUCAAUAAAUAACUUAACUAAUUUUUAAUCUGCAGAGGUUUGGGCUAGCCAAUUUGGACAUGAGAAUGUCACCUUUAUUCUUCAACCUGUAUUUUUCCUAUUGUCGUUUUAACUCCAAAGAUGAAAUGAGAUAAAGAAAAAAAAAAAAGCUACUAGGGACUAAAUAGGUAAAUAGAAAGUUUAGGAGAGAUUAAAAUACUAUUCUUCUUUUAGUUUCUAUAUUUUAAGUUAAGUAUUUAUUUAGUCCCUAUUUUUAAAAAGUAUCUCAAGACAAUCAUGUUGCAAAACAUGUUACACUCCUAUCCUUUCUUUAUUUUUUAUUUUACAAUAAUACAUUUGCAAUAAUAUUCUUGAAGAUAUUAAUAAAUAGGAAAAAAAAUAGAAACUUAUCAAAUUAACCUUAAAAGUAAUAUAAAAAAUUACACAAAUUUUUAUAUUAUUAUUUUACGUUUAGGAUUAAUUUAAUAAAUUCAUUUUUUAUAAAAUAAUUAUUCAUAAGAUUGUUGUAAGGUUAUUAAAAAAUUUUUAAUUGACUGAUAUUAAUUUGUUUAUAAAUCAUUAUUAGUAAAAUUGUUGCACGGUACAAAAAAUACUAUUUCUUUCACAUAGAUAUUUAUUGGUUAAUUUACUAAUAAAUGAUGAAUAAUUAAUUUACCAAUUAACUUUUUUAUAGAUAAAUUAAUUAAUGUCAAGAAUAUUGUUGGAAGGGCUAAAUAGAAAGAAAAACUAAGGGUAAGAAUGUAACGUAUUUAACUACAAGAGUGUUUUGAAGUAUUAUAUGGGUGCUAAAAGACUUAUUUGUGUUAUUUCCACGAGUUAAAAGACUUAUUUGUGUUCUUGUUUGUAGAGAAAGUAGAAUAUUUAUGUGUUAUGUUUCUCAUUCUUAAUCCAUAACUCUUCUGUUGGACAUGUGUCCUAUUUUCGUUGGCUGUUGAUUUCUCAUCAUUAAUCCAUAACUCUUCUAUUGGACAUGUGUCCUACUUUCGUUAGUUGUUGAGAUUUCUUGAUGAAAUUUUGCUAUGAGGAAAAAGAUAAAAUAGUAAGUAAAGAUUAAUAAAAUCACCUCAAGUAUUUUUUUGAGAUAAAGGUCAGCUCAUGCGCUUUAGAAAUGAUCAACUUAGUUUUUAAGCUAUUUUCAUAUUUAGAUAUUGAGAAUGUUGUCGUAUAUUCUAUUUUUUUAUAUCCACAUGGUGGCAUUUUUUUUUUCUUUUUUUUUUGGGUAUAACAGAUAAUAUAUGUGCCCUCGCCCCUCGCUCUUUGAAAUUCUAAUGCAUCGGAUACAAGGUAAUUCAUAUCAAAAAGACAAUUUUAAUAAGAUAAUCUUCGAAUACUCUCAUUGAUGAUGUGAACCCUUACCCGCAGCCUCUGCAGUAAAGCCUUCACUAGCUGGCUAAGCCUUUAAUUAGUAAUGACACAUUAAUAAUAUGAUCAAUCGACCAUUGAUCUUCUUGGUAUCACAAUGAAUCCCAUGUUUCAAGCAUGCAAUGAAAGAAAAAGGUAAAUGUCUGUUUAUCUGCCCAUUUGUGAGUUUGCUUGGAUUUUCCUUUAAGCCCUCGAGUCAAUGAAGCAAUAAAAAAUCAUUAAAAAGUAAAACGACCCAAAUACAAAACUCUCUCUAUAAAAAGGCACCCAUUCAGUAGUGAAUGCACUCCAAACCAGCCAGUUCGUUAGGGAGUUUUUGAAAUUAUUUCAUCAUGAGCAAAUAUCAAUUAACUAGUUUCUUGAUUGUCCUCUUGAACUUGGGCACUUUGGUCUCUUCUCUAGCUAAUGACCACUCAUAUAAUCCUCCUCCUCCUCCCCCCGUUACAAAACCACCACCCCCCCCAAAGGUGAAACCCACUCCUCCUCCUCCGGUUUUAAAACCACCACCGCCGGCGCCGCCAAAGCUGAAACCUCCUCCUCCUCCUCUAGUUGUAAAACCACCACCGCCGGGGCCGCCAAAGGUGAAACCUCCUCCUCCUCCUCCAGUUGUAAAACCACCGUCGCCACCGCCGCCAAAGGUGAAACCUCCUCCUCCUCCUCCGCUUGUAAAACCGCCGCCGCCAAAGGUGAAACCUCCUCCUCCUCCAGUUGUAAAACCGCCGCCGCCGCCACCGCCAAAGGUGAAACCUCUUCCUCCUCCUCCAGUUGUAAAACCACCACCACCGCCGCCAAAGGUGAAACCUCCUCCUCCCUCUCCAGUUGUAAAACCACCACCACCACCAAAUGUGGGAUACCCACCGCCACCAACACAACAAACUUGUCCAAUUAAUGCUCUCAAGCUUGGUGCAUGCGUCGAUGUUCUUGGUGGUUUAAUUCACAUUGGUCUUGGCGACGGUGCUAAGGAGAAAUGUUGCCCAUUGCUUUAUGGGCUAGCUGACUUGGAUGCUGCAAUAUGUCUUUGCACUGCCAUUAAAAUUAAGGCUCUGAGUCUCAUCGAUGUUCUCGUACCCAUCUCUUUGCAAGUACUUGUCAGCGACUGUGGCAAACAUCCGCCGGCCAGAUUUCAGUGUCCUAUCAAUUAAUUGUUGACGCCCCAUGCAUAUCAUGCAGUCUACGUGAAAAGGAGAUCUUAAUAGAUCGUAUUAAUAAUUGCAUGUUACUAGUUUCGUUUAAUUUCUCAUAAAAAAAAUGAUAAUAAUAACGUGUGAGAGCUUCAAGUUAGUAGUACUUGAAGACACGUGCUUGUGUCCGUUUGUCUUAUUCAACAAUGAUAUCGCUUAUUAAUUGUGACACCAAUAUUGUAUUUUGUGCAAUCCAAAAAAGAAAAAAAAUGAAAAAUGAAUGUUGUGGAAUAAAUAUUAUUUAUUGAUAAAUUGUUGGCAUUUUUUUUUUAGGGAGAGUGACAUUUUAUUUCCUCUUAAAAUUUAUUUUUACCAGUUUAGUUUUUAGUAGAUGUUUAAAACCCUAUUUCAUUCUGAUGUUUGAACAGUUAUUAAAAAAAAUACACUUUUGAAAGGUAAAAGUUACAUUUUAAUAAAUAAUUUAACUAAUUUUAAUUUGCAGAGGUUUGGGCUAGCCAAUUAGGACAUGAAAAUGUCACCUUUAUUCUUCAGCAAUGUAUUUUUUUCUAUUAUCAUUUUAACUCCAACGAGGAAAGGUGAUAAUAAUAAAAAAAAAAUUUAGCUACUAGGGAGUAGGAAUUUAACAGGUAAAGAGAAAGUUUAGAAAGGAUUAAAAUUUUAUUCUCCUUAUAUUUUCCAUAUUUUGAGUUAAGUGUUCUUCUAGUCCUUAUAUUUAAAAACUAUCUCAAGACACCUUGUUAAUUAUUAUGUUACUCUCUUAUUCUUAAUUUUUCUAUUCUUUUACAAUAAUAUCAUUGUCAUAAUAUUCCCGAGGAUGUAAUAAUAUCCUUGAGGAUAUGAAUAAAUAGAAAAAGUAAUAAUUUAUCAAAUUAACCAUAUUAUUAUUUUACUUUUAGGAUUAAUUUACUAAAUUCAUUUUUUGUAAGACAAUUAUUCAUAAGAUUGUUGUAAAGAUAUUAAAAAUUAUUCUAAUAGGCUAACAUUAAUUGUUAUAAAUCAUUAUUAAUAAAUUUAUUGCACAAGUACAAAAAAUACUACUUUUUUCACACUGAUAUUUAUUGGUUAAUUUACUAAUAAAUAACUAAUAGUUAAUUUUGUUAGCCUAAAAGGGUCACACAUAUUGUAAUUUUGAUGAUAACAAACAUGUGUCUUAAGUGAUUUGAAAAAUAUUGUAUUUCACAUUUUGACUAGUUCUUGAAAGAUAAUAUUUAUAAGGAAGUGAGUCACGUGAAAUCAAGUUUAAGACACUCAACGGAAAACGGCGUGAUCAAUAAUAAAGUUUAAAGCUUAACAGACUCAUUAUUGCAACAAUUCUUGUAAAGCCGGUAUGAUUUAAUAUAUGUAUGGCUUAGUAUUUGAGAAACUCAAGAUUUUUAAUAAAUCAUCAUUUUUCAUAAACCAAAGGUUUUACAAUUAUAAGCCAAGUAUUUUAUGAAGUUAGUUAUUUUUCAAGAUGUGGACUAAAAUGAAAAAGUUUUGUAAUCUUUGAUUUUAAUAAGUGUUGUUUUGAAUUUUGGAGUUGGACUUAUUUGUAAAUAUUUGAAACGUUUUGAGCCAUACUAUAAUUUAUAAACGUAUGAGGGCCUGAGUGUAGAUAUCCUAAAUAGACAAAAAGUUAGCGGCUAACGGCCUGCGGACUAGCGGCUAGCCGCUUGAGGAAAACUUCACAUUUUCAAAUUUUGGACUAAAAUGAAAAAAAAGUUUUGAAAACUUUGAAAUUUAUAAGUAUUAUGUUAAAUUUUGAAAAGGACUGUUUUGAAAAUUAUUAUCAUGUAUUGGGUCAUAUCACAAUUUUAAAAAGUUUUGGAAAUAACAAGUAUUAUUUAGAAAUUAUGAGAUUGGACCGUUUGUAAAGUUCUAUGACGUUUUGGGCCAUAGUAUAAUAAUUGUAGCAAAAUUCAAAUUUAAUGGUAACUUUACUGUUCUGAAGCGGGGAGCCAGAUAAAUUAAGCGGCUAACCACUUGGUUGCUGGAAUUUACCUAUAACGGCUAGUUUUUGGGUUUUUGCUAUAAAAAAUCAACUGAAACUUCAAUUUCAAAACUCUUGCAAGCAUAAACAAGUGUAAACAACAUAUUUGGAGCUUCCAAAUUCGAAAAUCAUCAUAGAUUAAAUCUUCAUUGAGAUAUCAUUUGUUCAUCUACUCUAAAAGAGAGUUCUUUGUUGUAAUCUUUAUUUUCUUAUCAAAAUUGUGAGUGUAUAAGUGUGAGAAAUACUUGAGUGAAGAGAUUGAGAGAUAAUCUCUUGGUUGCAAAGAUUUAUUGACACCUUAUAAGUCAAUUGUAAAGAACUUGAAGUCAUGGGAAGCUUGGAUAAUGAAAUCAUCGAGCUUGGUUGGCUUGAAGGUGUGGACGUAGGCGGGGAUUGCCAAACCACGUAAAAAUUGUUGUGUUUGCUCUCUCUUCCCUUUACUAUUUUAUUAUUGUGCUUUAUUGAAAUUAUUGUUUUUUAUUUGAUUAAUGCAAUAGAUUAAAUUGUCGUGCGACAUAUUUAGUGUAAGUUUUAAAAUCUCAAUUCAACCCCUUCUUGGGUUGCAUAACUUGCAUUUCAAAUUUACCAAUUAACUUUUUUUAUAGAUAAAUUAAUUAAUGUCAAGAAUAUUGUUGGAAGGGUUAGAUAAAAAGAAAAAGUAAGGGUAAGAAUGUAACAUAUUUAACUAUAGGAGCGUUUGAGGUACUUUUUAAAAUAUAACGGCUAAAUUGGCACUUAAAUCAAAAUAUAGAGAUUAAAUGAGUAUUUAAACAUCAUUAUUAAUUCUUUCUUUUUCUUGGUUUUUCUUAUUUUUAUUCCCUGUUGCUGCUGAGGUUCAUUUGAAAAAUAGUUAUAUUAAUUUUUUUUUUCGAAGAAUAUCUAAGCCUAAUUUGAUAACAAUAUCUAUUUCAUCUGCGACAUUAAGAUGUAAAAGAAAGCACAUUUUUUAAAUUUUUUAUGGCCUUAAUAUCAAUCUAAUGUGAUGUGUAUAUCAGAAGGUAGAGAUAAUUAUUCAUUUAAAGAUUGCCAAUAUUUAUUUAAUAAUAAUAAUUUCCUUUAUUGCAUGGCCAAUUUAAAAUAAGAGAUCAUAUGACUAGUAUGUGAAAAAGAAAGAAACGACUAAAACACAUUAAUAGACAACAAUUCCAUAAAAAAAUUAUACUUGGGGUGAAAAGGAAAAUUAACUCUAAAAAAAAAUAAAAACUAAUCAAUAAUAAUAACAUAAUAAAAAAUUUAUUUGUACAAACAAAUGUGACAUAACAAUAUUCUUUGAAUGAAAACAUAAAUAAAUAAAUAAAUAAAAAUCAUGUGAGUUAAGUGGCAUUUUUAUUCAACCAAUGCUGAAUGCUAUAUUAAUUUGUACCUUGUACAAGAUAAUUUAUAAAAGAAGCUUGCAACUCUGUCAUCGCUGAAAAAGAAUUAUAUAUGUGUGCUUGAAUUUAAGAUGCUCAUGCAAUCGUUUGGAAAGAGGUUCUCCAACGGAGAUAUCAAAGUUGCUCACUCAUGAUAUGUUCAUGGGUCUCCCACGCUCUUUUUUUUUUUUAAUGGUUUCUCUCCUGUAAUUUUAGUUGCAUUUGCUUCCUUUUUUUUAAUAUUAUGGUUUUUUUUACGAUAUUGAAUCUUUUUCUUUUAGAGAUAAGAUUCAUUAUGUCUUUAGGUUAAGAUUCAAUGCUCAAGUGAACUUGUUCGCAUUCUAAUUCUGAGCUAAUUUGAUUUACUUUAGUUUUUUAAUUUUAUAUUAAUGAAUUCUCUCGCCUUGUGGAAAUUCGAUCCCUUUUUAAAAUAAAAAUGCCAUAAUGUUGAUAUAUUUCAGAGUCAAAGAUUAAUUUCUUCAUUUCAAUUUUUCUCGAAGUCAGUCACUUUGGCCUUACUCUGCCACGAUAUGUUCUUGACUUUCAAAAGGUGGCACCACGGUCAUCGUUAAAGAAAAUAUUUACAAAUAAUAGUGAUGAAAAUAGACAAUGCACUCAAUUUUCUCUGAAUUAAGCAAAAAAUCAAUAAAAUGUCUAUGAAAUUCCUCCUUCCGCCAAAAUUUAUGAAAAAAGAAAAUGACCCAUUCAUUUUAUUUUGUACAUUUGUGCAAAUUGCCCCUCUGGGAAAAGAUGUUUGAGUAUUGCUGAAUACCUGUAAAUUAAAAAAACGAAAAUAUCUGUGCAGAGUUUGUUACCUUUUAUGGUUUAUAAUAACAGAAAAUUUUGAACCCCAUAUUUGAGAAGAUUUUAGCAUGCUUUCUCAAUCAUGGGCAAAACAAAGCACUACAUGUUAAUAAUAUAAUGCCUCAAUUAUCAAAACCGUGUUUUCUUGAUUCUCUUUAUCCUCCAAACUUUGAAAAGAUUAUCUCCUAAUCCUUGCUGACAGGAACCCAAUGCCAUGUGGUAAGUUUUGGUGACUGUAUGUAUGAUUAUUCUACAAUGAAGAUAAAUUAACCACAAAAACUAACUACUUCUUCUCCCAGCCCUAAACCACCAUCUGACGAACCGAAACCUUAUAGAAAGUGGAAAAUUUGUGAAAAAAAGAUAAAAGAAAAAUAUUUUACAGCUAUAUUUAGGAUUCCCUAAAGUUUUUAGUGAUAGAAACCCAAGCGAUGUGUAAUUUCAAUCUAUUUUAUGAGGAUGCAAGCCUUUAUUAUAAAAUAUUAUAAAAUAAUUAAAAAUUAAGAUUCCCUCACAAUCUUAAACUUCUAAACUAAAUUCAAAUGUGUGAUAGAUUGUUAAUAAAUAAAAGUAUAAAAGAUCUUUUAAAGUUCAAAGUGGCUUAAAUCACCAGAAAAUCUAAUCUCGAAAAUUAUUAAAUGAUUCAAAAAAUAUCUCAUAUUACCUAAAAAUAGUUAGUUAUUAGACUAUGAAAACAAGCUUACGGCAACCCUUAAUUAAACUUCUGUGCCUUUCAAUGAAAACAAGAAAAAUUUGAAGUUUAAAUUAGAGUUUCUAAAAAUUAUAUUAAAAAACUAUUAAAGUUUCAUAGUAGUGCUAGGAAAUAACUUCAAAUGCUAUUUUGAAAUCCAUAAGAGAGGAAUUGGCAAAAAUAUAACUGUUCUUAUAGUCUAAGGGUGUGUUUGACACAUUGUAUUGUAUUAUGUUGUAUUGCAUUAUUUUAAUGCUGGUGUAUUGUAUUAUGAUGUAUUGCAUUAGCACUGUAUUAUAAUAAUGUUGUACAAUAUUUGAUGCUACACUUUAUUAUAUUAAUGUUUUUGUGAUUAACUUAAAUUAUAUAUUUAGAAAAUAAAAUUUAUUAGUACCUAGAAAAAUAUAAAAUAUAGAAGUCUUAAAUUUUAGAAAUUUAACAUUAUUUUUUAGUAUAAAUAUUAAAAAAACAUUUUUUUUCAUAAAGAUUGAAGCUUAUAGCCUUAUAAUCGACAACAUAACAUUUAUUUUAAAUUAAUAUUAUUUAAAUUUAUUCAUAUAUAAAUAUUUUUAUUAGUUAUAUUAAAAUUUUCUAUAUUAAUUACUAUAAUAUAAUUAAAUAAUGUAAUAUCAAGCUAUAUUCUUAUUUUUAUAUAUUAUUUAAGUACUUAUUAAUCAAUUUGAUAUAUUAAUUAUUAUAUAAUUAAAUAAUACAUUAUUUAGUAAUAUUUUUAAUAUAAUAAAAAUUAAAAUAUGAAUAACAAUUUAUUAAUUUAUAUGAAUAAUUAUGAUAUAAAACUAAAGAAAAUAAAAAUUUAUAUUAUAUUUAAAAGUUAUAUUAUUUAUUAUUAUUAAAAAAACAAAAGCAAAAGUAAAAAAAAAAAAAAAGAGGCAGCAAAUGCAAAAGCACAAAAGCUAAUGCGCCAGUUUCCCGACUCCCAGUCGGGUUUAGCUAAUGCGGCAGUUUCCCGCAUUAGCAUACCCCUUAAUCCCUUGUAAAAUUUUGCCAACAUGAUAUUGGUAUUAAGCUAAUGUGAACAGUAUUUUAAUACACUAUAAUACCAUGCACCAAACACAGCCUAAGAAUAUUAGUUGGGACAUAAAUAAUGUAACGUCUAACAUUGAAAGUUUAAAUGAAGAAAUAUUUGACAAAAAUUAGCUUAUCAUCAGCAUUAAAAGUGUGAAUCUUAAACUAAAUUAAUGCACGGAUAAUGUUGCCUUUCAGCAUUAAUCACAAAUGCUUUACAGUCCUCCUAAUAAGAUUAUGAAAAAAUUGGCUCUUAGUUAGCACUCCGGCCAAAGUCAGCAUCCAUGUCAUCGGAGUCCCAUCUUCCAUUUCCUCAUCUUCAUGAUCCGCCGCUUGAAACUGUAUAUCAGAUAAUCUUUCCUGACGCUGGACGCAUGUUGCUUGCUGUGACUUUGAUAGAUUAUUAAGAAGCUGAUGCAGCGGAAGUUUAAUGUUCAAAAUAUUCCGUUGAUUCUAGAGAAUACAGGAACAAAAGAACAACUAAAUUCACGUUGAUUCAAAAGAAUACCGCGAAUUUAGGGAUUAAGACUCGUUGAUUCCGCAGAAUACCGAGAAUUAAUUGUUCAAAUACUCACAAAGAGAUUUGAAAAUUGAAAUAUUAUUAAUCUCAAAAUUCUCUCCUCAAAAGCUACAAAAGACACUUAUUUAUACUAAGUAAGACUUAUCCUAAUAUGAUUAGAAAACCUAUUUUAAUAAGACUUAUGCCUAAAUUAGGAAUAUUACUCAAAUAAGCAAUACCUAAACAAUAAGACUCUAAAUAGGAAACCAAAUUAAACUAGAAUACAAAUUAAUUAAAAUAUUCCUAAAUAUUAUACAUUUAAAUAUAAUUAGGAUUUCUUGAAUUUCAUGCUCUGCAUCAUUCCCGCCAGGUUGGAGAAAAUUCGUCCUCGAAUUUUGUAUGUUGUAGUCUUCAAGAACAUCUUCAUGUGCAUAAGGAUUAAUUUUUAAAACAGAGCUUUGACAUAGACGACAAACUUUAAAUUUUCCAACUUUUGUAAUAAUGUCCAUCCAAUCACUCCAAUGGCGUAAAAUAAAUUCUUCUAUCAACAACUUCUCCAAUAAUGUCUUCUCGUAUUGUUCGUGUCGAACUUCAACAUAGUUGAGGAAAAACGAUUUCUUCUCAUAAUCCACUAACUGUUGAAAAAUAUCACAACUCUUUUUGUCUUCUUUCAGCAAAUCAAGAGAACAAUAAGAGAUUGUAUCAACAACUAUCUCUCUCUCCUCCACAAGAUCAAAAGAUGGAUGAACAAUUACCUCUUCUUGUCCCACAAUAUCAAGAUACUCAUCAAAUUUUGGCGAUUGAUCCAAAUCAAUGUCUUUGUGUUGAGGAUUUGUUGUAGACAUGAAUGGCCAAUUAAUAUUCUCCUCGGAAGGAAUAAUACUAUCGAAAGGAACAAAGUUACUAUUUUCCUCAUUAUCUUCAUAACAACCAUCAUCGUGAACAACGUCAUCAAAUCCAUAUGCAUGCUUUAUGUGUAAAGAUUUUCUAUCUCGAAUUUUCUCUAAAUCUUGAGAAAUUGAAUGGAAAAUCCUCAACAUCUUAACUAAAACAUCUCUCAAGAUGAAAUCUUCACGUCGAUGUUGUGAUUUCAUGAUAUAAUUUUUUUCUUUUUUUUCUUUUUUUUCCUAUGCUUUUUUGGUGUUGUUUGGGUUUUUUUUUUUAAAACUAAAUGGAAAAAAACAAAAAGGAGAAAGGAAACGUUUGGUGGUAGAUGGGAUUAUAUGAGUAAUACCAGGUUUUGUCUCUGAUACCAAACUGAUGCAGCGGAAGUUUAAUGUUCAAAAUAUUCCAUUGAUUCUAGAGAAUACCGGAACAAAAGAACAACUAAAUUCACGUUGAUUCAAAAGAAUACCGCGAAUUUAGGGAUUAAGACUCGUUGAUUCUGCAGAAUACCGAGAAUUAACUGUUCAAAUACUCACAAAGAGAUUUGAAAAUUGAAAUAUUAUUAAACUCAAAAUUCUCUCCUCAAAAGCUACAAAAGACACUUAUUUAUACUAAGUAAGACUUAUCCUAAUAUGAUUAGAAAACCUAUUUUAAUAAGACUUAUGCCUAAAUUAGGAAUAUUACCCAAAUAAGCAAUACCUAAACAAUAAGACUCUAAAUAGGAAACCAAAUUAAACUAGAAUACAAAUUAAUUAAAAUAUUUCUAAAUAUUAUACAUUUAAAUAUAAUUAAGAUUUCUUCAAUUUCAUGCUCUGCAUCAGAAGCUGAGCUCUUAUUUCAUCCAAAUGCCUACGUUUGUUUUUAUUCUUCAGUUACUUAUUUGAGCCACAAAAAGUGUAUACUUAGGACCACAAUAGUUCAUAUAUUAUUCUUUCUAUAAAUACUCUUGUUUUGGGCAGUUACAAAGGCGUAGAGUGGUAGAGGGCUACAGGCAUCGGGCACGGCUUGUUUGAGGUCUCAUGUUUCAAUUCCCAAAUGAGCCUCAGGAACACCCAGCUGCUUCCAUCAAACACUUGGCCAAGCAGCAUUAUUCAGCUACUUUUAACUCUUAUUAAGUCAUUUUAAGUGCUGCUGUUAAAUAGAGAAAUUUUAGAAUACAUUAGAGAUAAUACAACUAAUUAAUGUGUGUAUGGCAUGCGUAAUCGAACUCAAUAUAACCUCAACUUGAACGGUAGUUUUUAUUUUUCAAAAUAAAUACUUAUUAUUAUUAUUAUUUACUUAUUGUGUGCUUGAUAUAGUAAAUCUGAUUAUAUUUUAAAAUUUAUCCCGUUAAGGAAAUUACUAAGCAUCAAGCCACUAACAAUCUCUACCAGCAGUAUUUGAGUGAGAACGGUCCCUUAUCAAAAGAAAAAUCAAAUGCUUGAGUAAUACAUAAUUGAAACCAGCAUAGAACUUUUUUUAAGAGGUCUAUCCAGUUAUUAUUUUUUUUUAUAAUUUUUAAUUUUUACUUUUCUUGGGAUAUAUGGACCAUGGCCUCCAGGGAAUACCGGCAACUUUAAAAAAUAAAUUAACGUUUGACUGGUUGUAAUACCCAACGUACUAGAAAACAACAAUACGAAUCGCACAUUUACAAGUGUAAAAUCGCAGGGGAUCAUGUGGAAAUGUCAUGCGAAAUUAACGUGCAUAUUACAAAUUGUAUCUGUCAAUUUUUUGUGUUUUCGAAUCUUCGUGUGGAAAUGUCAACAUAUAUUCUUUCGCGCAAAUCUCGCUUUGCCCUUCUUUAAGAGGGAAAAGAUAUGGAGAAAUAUACACAUAUACGGUACAGCUAGAUUUAAAUUUUUAAUAUUCUCAAACUGCAUGCAUUGAGUUUUACUAUUGGCAGAAGCAGUACUUUUCAGAUACGGACGAGUUCAACAAUUAUAUUAAAAAUGCAAUAUAUGUGUUAUGUCUCUGCCCAUUUUUUCUAUUUAUGCGUUGUUUAUGUAUGCAUGUAUGGUGUACAACGUGGAUUCACAAACUUUAAAAAAUAUAUAUUAAAUAUGAAAUUAAUAUUAUACCACGUUUCUUGCAUGGCUAUUUAAAUAGAGGUUAAGUUAAAGAGAAGAUAUAUUUUUUAUCAUUCUGCCAUUUGAAGUAAGACCAAAAAGUCAUGAACUAUUGAGUAUAAAACAAAAACAGAGUACCAGUGAACAGUUUAGGCUAUAAUUUCUAUGUUUAAUUAGAAACUGUAAUUAUUUAUUGGAAAUUAUCGACUCAAAAAGGGAGGAAAAAAGUGUCCAAGCAUACAGCUAGCCUUCAUAAUAUCACAGCUAAUGUUCAUGAAAAAUUGAGAGUACAGGUGUCCUCGCUCGUUCUUUGAAAUUGUAAUGCAGAGCUUCCCAAGUCAUGAAAUUAAUUCUGUGAAAAGAUAAUUUAAUUUGAUAAGAUAAUCCUCAAAUGCUCUCUCAUUGAUGGUGAACCCUUACCCACAUGCAUACAAAGUAUCUAUGUCUUAGCUAUAGCAAAGAGUGAAUUUAAUUAUUAAUAACAUCUUAAUACUAUAAUCAAUCGACUAUUGAUCUUCUUAGUAUCAUAAUCAAUAACGUGAAAGGAAAAAAAAAAAACUGAAAAAGCAUGGAGGAGAAAAAGGGUAAAUGUUUGUCUAUCUAUCCACUUUUGAAGUUGGUGAUGGUUGUCGAAGCCAGCAAAAAUAAAUACAUACUCUAAAUAAAUUGUGUAUAGUGAUUGAGCAGGGUCGUGUCCACAGAGAUCGGUAAUUAUUUAAAUCCUUUUAAAAUUAAAAUGCAAAAUGGGGGAAUUGUUGACAAUAAUAAAAAUCAAAUUAAAAUAAUAAGAAUGCAAAUUAAAAUUGUAAUUCCAAUUGGGGAAAGCUUUGGUUGAAGGAAUUAACUUAGCUUGAUUCGACUACUGAUAAUUAAUUCAAAUAUAAAUCAUUAAUACUUAUGAAUAGACUGGUUAUAGCUACUGAGACCCUCUAAUAGUCAAUCUCUCCUUAACUAGUCGAUAAAUAAGGUACGACCAUUGGUUAUUUCCCUAAUCAAUAGACAACCCUAGAUACGAUCAUAGGAUUUAAUCAAUUGACAGCCUGAAAAAUCAGAGAGACCCAAAUCCUAAUCAACAAAAGCAUACGAUGGUUCAUUUAAAUUAGAUUGUUUAUUCUCAUAACACAACGCACUGCUAUGCUAUUUGUCACAAACAUUAAAAUCUUCAUACGAUAAAUCUUUUAAUUGACAAUAGAUUAAGUUGAUAAUUAAAUAGUGGCCAAUUAUCUAAUUAACAAACAUAAUCAUGACAAUAAUUUAGAGAAUAAAUAAAUACCCAAAAGCAAUAAAACAAUUAAAGCAUAAGAAAUAUCUCAUAGUAAUGACGAAUCAAAGCUUUAUUAACCUCCAACCAGAAUAAUAGGUUUAGUUCUUCAUAGAGAGAAAAGAAAAAUUUAGAUAUAAGGUUUUUGACAAUGGAUUCCCCCCUUUAAUUCUCUCCCCCCUAUUCUCCUCUAGAGUUCUUUUUGAAAUAGAAUACUAAUAUCUAAAAUAUUAUCUAAAUAUUAAAUUCGGAAUUACAAAAAUAACCAAAAAGACAAAACACGUUAAACUAAAAACCGUAGGUCCGUAGUUGACAGCACGCACCCACGUCUUAUCAACAAAGUUCUUCUGAAGCUCAUAGUUUCUCGAGGAAAACAAUCAUCCUAAAAAAAUCAUCUUGUAGCUCAAUUUUAGCACCAAUCAAUAGAAUUGCACCUACAGAAAUAAAACACAAGUAAAUCACUAUUAUUAAGUACAAAACAUUGAUAUUAAAGGAAGUAAACAAUGCAAAACUAGUGCAUAAAUUGCACUCUAACAGUUGGCUUGGGUUGUCCUUUAAGUACCUGAGUCAAAGAAGCAACAAAAACUAAUGAAAAAUUAAAAUGACCAAAAAUUCAUAAUCUAUAAAAAGGCAUUAAUUCGAUAGUGAAUGCACUCCAACUCCUAGCUAGCUAGCUCAUUAGAGAGUAUUGAAAUUAUUUCAUGAUGGGUAAAUUUGCCAGUUUCUUGAUUGUCCUCUUGAAUUAGGGCACUUUGCUCUUUUCUCUAGCUUGUGACUGCUACAACCCAACUCCUCCUUCACAAGUUUCAAAACCACCACCCCCACCACCAACUGUGAAACCCACUCCUGCUCCUCCAGUUGUAAAACCGCCGCCACCACCACCACCACCAACAGAACAACAAACUGGUCCAAUUGAUGCUCUCAAGCUUGGUGCAUGCGUCGAUGUUCUUGGUGGUUUAAUUCACAUUGGUCUUGGCCACAGCGCUAAGGAGAAAUGCUGCCCAUUGCUUCAAGGGCUAGCAGACUUGGAUGCUGCAAUAUGUCUUUGCACUGCCAUUAGAGUUAAUGCUCUGAAGCUCAUCAAUCUUCUCGUACCCAUCUCUUUACAAGUACUUGUGUCAACGACUGUGGCAAAUAUCCGCCAGCAGGAUUUGAGUGUCCUGCCUAACAAUUGGUGACGGCCCAUGCAUUCAAUUUGGGUGAAAGUAUACGGUUCUAAUUGACGAUAUUAAUAAUUGUAUGUUACUUGCUAGUUAAGUGAACGGUUCAAGUUAGUAGUACUUGAAGGCACAAGCACGUAAACAUAUGUCUUAUAUUCUUAUUCAACGGUGAUAUCUUAUUAUUUGUGAAACUAAUAUUGUAUAUUGUAAAAUCCGAAAAAGGAAAAAAAUUGUAUGCUGUGUGAAUAAGUAUUAUCUAUUGAUAACUUGUUUGGCAUUUUGUGUAUGGAGAGUGGCACUAAUUUAGUUCCUCUUCAAUUUUGAUUUUUCCACUUUAGCUUCUAAUAGAUUAUUAAUGAUGUUUAAACAUUUAUUAACCAAAUACAAUUUUGAAGGGUAAAAGGUUGCAUUUUAACAAAUAUAUUAACUAGUUUUAAUUUACAGAAGUUUCGGCUAAUUAAUUUGCAUAUGAAAAUCGUUCAUUUAUUCUUGAGAAGUGUAAUUUUCUACCGUUGUUUUUAACACCAAAAUGAAACGAGGUAUUAAAAAUCUAGCUAUUAAGGACUAAUGUGGUAAAAAUAAAGUUUAGCAUAGAUGAAAAAUAUCACUUCUUUUGUUUAUAAGUUGACGUUUCUCCUCUCUCUUUAAUUAUAUAUAUACAGCAUCAAUUUUUUUGUGGUUUGAAAUAACAUCUCAAGCCUUAUUUGACAUGAAUCAUUUCAUAUCCGACAUUAAAAUGUAAGUAUGUAACAUAAAAGAAUAUUUUUUUAGUUCUUAUAGCCUUUAUAUCAAUCUAAUGUGAUGUAUAUCUCAUAAGGCAGGAAUAAUUUUGCAAAUUAGCAAGUUACUAUUAUUCUUUAACAGUAAAUUUUAAACGUUAAAAUUGUUAAGUUAGAAACGUAAUGGGUAAUUUAAAAAUUAAAAAAAUAAAUGGUAAAAGUGAGAAAUUAAAAAAUUAAUUACGUUUAAGGAUUUUAUUCAAAAUUUCUUAUGAAUAUUAUCAGUUAAAUCAAAUAUAUUCAUUUUCCGGAUUUUAGAAAAUACAGUAUAUGUACAACAUCUGUUAUACAUUUAUUAAAAUUUACUUAACGACUAUAAUAUAAGAAGCGAAGUAGUUGUGGCAAUAUAAUUAUAUAUCUAUCAUUAGUGUAUUAAUAUAAGAAAGAAAGUAUUUUGAAUGAAUUGCAAGUUUAUUAACAAAAGUACAAAACGAUAAUGUGUAUAGUAUAAGUGAAACAAGAAACAAAGGAAGGGAGGCCUCUAGUAAAAGCAUCAUCCUAAAGUCAUCCUGUCACACUUAAAUUAAACUAAUUACAAUAAUACUAUGUUUACUAAGUUUAGAUAUUUAGUUGAGAUACUCACUGAUGUGUCACCAAUAAUUUAAUAUCAUAUAUAUGAUAUUAAUUAAUUUUAUUAUUAAUUAUUAAUAAAUUAUUUUACAAUCUACUUAACGGAUGAUGUGCAACGCCAUUAGGGCCUCAUUUAGGAUUACUUUUGCGAUGCUCAAAAGUGAUUGAAAAGGUAAAAGAUAAUUUUAAUGUAUGAUAGAUUUUUCCAAAAUUACUUUUGGCAAAAAGAUGGGACUAUUUGAACCUGUAAAAAUACUCUUUAAACCCAAUUUCAAAUAAAAAAAUAUAUAGUAUAACAAAACCCUUUUAUUAAAUUACUAUAAAAGACAUGAUAUUUACACCUAUUUAUAAAAGACAUGAUAUUUAUGCACAUUUAUCAUGUAUAAAAAAAUAUCUUUUAAAUCUAAAAAAGAUUAGCAGCUCAUAUAAACAUAUACGUUAGAAUUUAAUUAAUGGAAAUCAACCUACUUUAUCAUGCAAUCAUCCAUAUUUCAAAGAGAGACCCAAAAAAAAAAAAAUUCAGAACCCCAAAUGAAGAGAAUUUUAUGUUAAAAAAAAAAAAUUGAUCUUAGAGUCAAUCGUGGGAAGUAAAACAUUUGUUUUAAAAAAAAAAUCUACUUUAAAUUUAAAAACCAAAGAUCAAUUGUGGAACUUUUCUUCAUUAAUAAAAUAUUUCUUACUUUCCAAAGUGUAAGUGAUUGUCGUUAUUAAGAUUUCAUCGGAUAAUUUUGGUAAGAUUGGAAUUUGUGAAAAGAAAAUGAAGAAAGAUUAAGUUUGGUAUUUCUGAAAAAAGAUUUUAUUGUUGUUAAUAGAGAAGAAGAAAAAGAUGGCAGUGUAAAUGGGCAUUUAUAAAGCAUUAUUAAAACGAAAAAAAUGAUUUUUAAUUAAGGCUAAUUUAAGGAUUAUAGUAGGUUUAUAGAGUUAAAAUUUAAAUGAAUUAUUUUUUUGUCAUGGGUGCAUAGAGUAAACAUGUUUAGAGAGAAAUUUGUUGGGUUCAUAUAGUCUCAUCCUUGGCAAAAUUAGCCAAUUUUGAUUUUGAGAAUAACUUUUAUACUAGAAUUUUAAAGUACGGAAAAAUUUGGAAAAAUGCAUAAACUAUGCGGUUUAAUCAAUUUAAGUUUUAAACUUUUAAAACCUUAGGGUUUUAAAGUUUUCCUGAAUUUUUCCUGCACUUUAAGAUCCCGGAUCAUAUAAUAAUAAUAAUAAUAAUUAUUAUUAUUAUUAUUAUUAUUAUUAUUAUUAUUAUUAUUAUAUAUAUAUAUAUCUUUAUUAUUUAGGAAAUAAAAUCAUUAACUAUAAAGAAAUUAUUAUUAUUAUUACUAAUUAUAUUGAUAUAAUAAAAUAAAAAUAUAAAAUAUUUAUUUUAGUUAUCAAUUUAAUUUGUACACAAUAAAAAAAAAUUUCAUAUGCAAGUUUAUAAAUGUUUAAAUAUAUUUUAUUGAACAUAAUGUCCAAUUCAAUUAUUUACAUUUUUACAUUAGUUUAACAGUAACAUGUACCAAAUACAUAAAAUUACUUUUAAAACUCACAACACUUUUAAAAAUAAAAUUUAUCAAACAUUUAAUUAAUUAUCUUCAUAACUGAUUAUUUCUACAUCACAGUUAACAUUAAUUAUUUAAAAGGUGUAAUAUUAUGAAAUUAGCCCUAAGUAUCACAGUGGAAUAUUCAAAGUGUGUAAAUAUAUCAUCACUCAACUAAUUAAUGAUUAGGUGAAACACAGUUUUUAUCAACUUUUUGUAAAUUCCGAAGCUUCUCCUGUUAAGAGAAUUUUCUUAGAAUCUCAACAUGAAUAGAAUUUUCAUGUGAAAAUCAUUGGUUGAUUUAUUAUUCAUACGUCAACUAAGCUUGCAUAAAUCUCGCUUGUCCCAUCUUCAAAAAGGAUUUCUUCCGAAUUUUAGGACUAGUCAAAAUCGCACGAUCUUGCUAUCACAAAUUACGAAAUACAGCUAGAUUUAUUUAAUUUUCUCAAGUGCAUUCAUAUUUAAUAUUUCUAAUUUAGCACUGUCAGUGACAGAAGCAGUAUCUCUUAGAUUCAACUGAUGUGGAUAACUAUAUUAAAAUGCAAUGCAUACAUGAUUUGUAGAUCUUGUUAUGGAUUUAAUAGAGUGGUUUUCAAUUGAUUUUAUUUAAAUAAUCAGAUGGAUUCAGUCCUAAGAGAAAUAGGGUUAAAAAAUUAAUUUAAAUUUUACAUGCUUUCUAACCUUUAUAUAUAUAUAUAUAUGCCAAUUAAAUAUAAGUUGUGUUAAGUGUUAAAAUGAAGUAAAUCCAUUUUCAUCAUUCUGGCAUUUGAAGUAAAAGACCGUAAAGCCAUCACUAUGCAAACAAAGUAAUCAAAAAACUAAAAUAGUUUCCCUUAUUAAUGCAGAAGUUACAACUAUUACAUUUGGUAAUUGAGUUUAUUAAUGAAAGAAAUUACGUUUCAGACUGCAAAUAAUUCACUUAAUUAUCCCAAUAACUCAUUAGUAUUAUUAUAAUAAUCAAUCGAAUGUUCUUAGUAUCAUAAUGAAUCCCAUGUUUCAAGCAUGAAUGAAAAAACAAAUGGGAGUAUCUCUGUCUACAUCUCCGUUCAAUGGUGAGCUGGCUUGGGUUGCCCUUUGGGCCCUAAAGUCAACAAUCAACAAACAGUUAAAAAAUUAAAAUGAUCCCAAAUUCAUAACUCUCUCUAUAAAAGGGCAUUCAUUCAAUAGGGAAUGCAUUCCCAACUUAGCAAGCCAAGCUCUUUCGAGAGUUCUAUAAAAAAAUUUCAUCAUGGGAAAAUAUCAAUUAGCAAGUUCCUUUAUUCUAAUCUUGAACUUGGGCACUUUGCUUACAUCUCUAGCUUGUGACUGCUCAAAUAACCCUCCUCCUCCUCCUCCCCCUGCUUCUAAGACACCAAACUGUCCCCCACCGCCUUCUUCACCGAGCCCUAAAACGCCACCACCUCCUUCUCAGUUUGUGAAAUCGCCACCACCUCCGGUCGUGAAGUCGGCCCCUCCGCCUCCGCCUCCUGUUGCAAAGUCACCGCCACCUCCUCCACCGGUUGUCAAGUCAACCCCACCACCG
This 34588-nucleotide long non-coding RNA is filed under the name Citrus x clementina. Its description in RNAcentral is "Citrus clementina (C. clementina) long non-coding RNA (CCLE_LNC002016)". Lineage: Eukaryota; Viridiplantae; Streptophyta; Magnoliopsida; Sapindales; Rutaceae. The record is from RNAcentral.